UUUAGUUAACAAAUUAUCUGUUUAUUUUUUCCACUAUCAAACUCCCCAGGUUACUCAUCACAAUCAAAUGUGACUUUGGAAAGAACAGGUGAUGAUCUUGGGCCUGAAUUCUCUACUCUUGCUGAAAACUGAAGUUGUUCCUACUGUAUUGACAUAGCUGACACCCUGUCAAUCAAUUUCUUCACCUACAAUGCCAUGAAGCCACCAAGGAUAGACAAAUGUCAAAACAGCCAUUAAGGAUUGACAAACCAACAAGGAUGCUCAUCUAACAAGAUGAGAAGAAAGGAAAGGAGGAAGGAAGAAAGCAAAAGUGGAAAGAAAAGGAGGAUAGAAGAAAGGGGGAAAGAAAGAAGAAAGAAAGAAAGGGUUCUCCUUGCUGAUUCUAUUGUCUUCUCCUAGUCUACUGACUUUUUUUCUUCUCUACCCUUCAUAUUAAGUAGUUCACCAUAAUGUCUGUUUCCUCAUUGCUUUGUUUUGUCACAAUUAUUAACAACUCCAAUUCAC
Non-coding RNA from Odocoileus virginianus texanus, 504 nucleotides. NCBI's taxonomy places the organism in Eukaryota, Metazoa, Chordata, Mammalia, Artiodactyla, Cervidae. The record is from RefSeq and is a predicted model, not a curated record.